UGACAGGAGCCAGGGUCCAGGAGACAUA
Molecule: non-coding RNA, 28 nt
Filed under: Mus musculus (house mouse)
Lineage: Eukaryota; Metazoa; Chordata; Mammalia; Rodentia; Muridae
Source: RNAcentral